UCCAGAGGGUGCGAGCGUUAAUCGGAAUGACUGGGCGUAAAGUGCGCGUAGGUGGAUAUGUGUGUUGGAUGUGAAAGCCCCGGGCUUAACCUGGGAAUUGCAUACAAAACUGCAUGUCUAGAGUGGAGCAGAGGUGAGUGGAAUUUCCGGAGUAGCGGUGAAAUGCGUAGAUACCGGAAGGAACACCAGUGGCGAAGGCGACUCACUGGGCUCAAACUGACACUGAGGCGCGAAAGCGUGGGGAGCAAACAGG
This 253-nucleotide ribosomal RNA is filed under the name uncultured bacterium. Its description in RNAcentral is "partial 16S ribosomal RNA". It matches the Rfam family "Bacterial small subunit ribosomal RNA", at positions 524 to 776 of the family's 1533-position model. The record is from RNAcentral.